RNAcentral lists this ribosomal RNA (524 nucleotides) under Metschnikowia rancensis. RNAcentral describes it as "partial large subunit ribosomal RNA". It matches the Rfam family "Eukaryotic large subunit ribosomal RNA", at positions 52 to 653 of the family's 3401-position model. The record is from RNAcentral. Lineage: Eukaryota; Fungi; Ascomycota; Pichiomycetes; Serinales; Metschnikowiaceae.
GGAGGAAAAGAAACCAACAGGGAUUGCCUCAGUAACGGCGAGUGAAGCGGCAAAAGCUCAAAUUUGAAAUCCCCCGGGAAUUGUAAUUUGAAGGACCUAUUAAAACCCUGAGAGAGCCCAAAGUCCAUUGGAAAAUGGCGCCAUAGAAGGUGAUAGCCCUGUGUGGACCUCUCUCAGCAUACUUUUUAGGCCCAAAGAGUCGAGUUGUUUGGGAAUGCAGCUCUAAGUGGGUGGUAAAUUCCAUCUAAAGCUAAAUAUUGGCGAGAGACCGAUAGCGAACAAGUACAGUGAUGGAAAGAUGAAAAGCACUUUGAAAAGAGAGUGAAAAAGUACGUGAAAUUGUUGAAAGGGAAGGGCUUGCAAGCAGACACAACCUCGGUUGGGCCAGCAUCGGGGCGGGGGGAAACAAAAAAGGUGUGGAAUGUGGCUCUUACGAGUGUUAUAGCCCCACCCAAUAUUUCCAUCCCAUCCCGAGGCCUGCGAUUCUUCAAGGAUGCUGGCGUAAUGGUUGCAAGUCGCCCGUC